Molecule: long non-coding RNA, 2894 nt
Organism: Peromyscus leucopus (white-footed mouse)
Lineage: Eukaryota; Metazoa; Chordata; Mammalia; Rodentia; Cricetidae
Exons: 6
Source: RefSeq, a predicted model, not a curated record
UACAUGCUACUUCAUUCUUUUAUUUUCUUCUUUUCCUUUCUUUUUGUUUUAAUGCAGUCAAGUUUCCUGCAUUUGGAGAAAUUGCAAGGGUCAGCUCAGCAUGUCUGGAGUGCAAUGGAUAAGACUCACCCUAGGAGGGCCACCUUGUGAUCAUGGUAUCUCCCCCUUCUAAGCCCUGGAAACCUGCACCAGUCAGACCCACAGAACACACCAUAGUGAAAGAUAAAACCGGAGCUUUGUAACUGGAGACGAGUUUCACUGAGCUUCCCCACCGAGCUGGGUCAAGUGUGCCAGCCACCUCACUUGGCUAAGCUUCAGGGCUCUCAUGAGCAAAUGAAAGAAUAUGUUGUACUAGGAAAAAGCACAGUGUUUGAGAUUCCGAACAUCUGGGGCCACCAGCAAUCAAGUGUGUAGCUUACCAGCUGAUAACAUAUCAUUUAACAGCUUCUCCAAGAUGAAGAUCAGCUUACAUAGUGUAACACUACCUUUAUUUUAUCUACUGUUAAACUUAAUUCACCCAGCAGCGAAGGAUCUGAACUGGUAACAUCGUCUCGAUAACAGAUAAGAGAGGGGUCACCUGAUAGGAAUGGAGGCUUCCUUCGCUUUUUAAAAAGAAACAUUUUAAGCCAGAUGCCGAUUCAAAGUCAUUUUUGGGCAUUGCCAGCCUAAGGAACAGUUUAAAGCUCAUUGAUGACAAAAAGAAAUUAUUUCAAGCUGUGAAAUAUUUUCUCCCGUAAGAUAAGACAACUUCAUUUGUGGACAAAUUGCCCUGUGGAGGGGGACUUUUUAAUCAUGUCAAUUAUUUUCUUAGUCAUCAAAUGUGUGCAACAUCUACAUCCAGCUAAUAGAAGACGGGACCAUACGGGCAUCGCUGAUAGUGAUGUGGAGAGAUGUGCUGCCCACCUUCAAAGCAAGAGCUUUGCAAGCUUUAGAAUUCUCAGUACCUUGUGAACAAGAAUCAUGGCAAUGACCAUGACGCACCGACGCACCGGAAGCUGAGAUAGAGCAAAUAUGCCCACAGAAGCCAUGUGAGUGCUGGCUGGGCUUCCCAAGUUCUGCUUGUGAUCACAUCAUGGCUGCUAGUUAAGACAAUUUCCAUUCAAGAAGUGAUGUCACCUAACUUCGUAGGUUAAGCAGAAGAAAGCUUCAUAUGUUGUCUGGGAAAUGGCUCGGUUGGGAAAAUGCUUGCCUGAUAAAUUGGAUGACCUGAGUUUGGCGCCCAGAAGCGAUGUAAAGAAACAAGAAAUCGCGUGACCUGGACAUGUCAUUCCCAGUGCAGUGGUUGGGAAGGAAGACAAUGGGUGGAUCCCUAGGACUUACUGAGAAACCUUGCCUCAAAAAAUAAAAGUCUGAACCACCACAAAAAACCCAAGGUGUACAGCCAGCCCCGGAGGAACUACACCCUAGGUUGACCUGUAAUGUGUACGUACCCUGCCCCGCCCCCCCCACCCCAGUUUGCCUUUUAAACGCUAAUCCCAUUAAGAAGAUGCAGAUCACUUUCUGUGGUUACCCACCCCCUUCACGCUCCACGCCCAAAUGGUUCCUGUUUCUGUUGAGCCCGAAGCAGGAAGAGAAAGUGACGCAGCAGCGAUGCUGAGCAAGUGGAGUUCAGUCCGAUGAUGCCUUCUUUCUCCCCCAGGAGAGGGGUGCGUGGGCAGAGCCCGGGUUAUGCUUCUCAUUUGCUUCAUCCUUACGGCUUUUCCCAAAUGGCCUUGCGCUCUCUCCUGACUCUUGCCUUAUCAGUGCAUGGCCGUGAGCUGGGAGAUUCCUAAAGUUCUGUUGUCUCUCAAAACAAAACAGAACAUUCCAUCCAAAUUUAAACAGAACCAUUUACAACAUUUACAAUUCUAUUACAUAUCGGUUUUCCUGCCUGGCAUUUAUUUGAGGAAAGGCUCUCUCGGAUAUGAGGGAGUUGGUUUUGGAAAAUUAAAUCAGACUGACUAAAAUGAUGGUAUGAUUCACAAGAAAAGAGAAGAUCAUUGUGUGAUAGGAUAAUUAUUUUUGGAGCACUUUAUUUUCAUGACUUCCAGCGCACAGAGGAGAAACAUAUGGACGGUGUUGCUAAUUUAGGCCUGUGCUGCUUCAGGCUCUGCAUGGAGGUUCUACACCAGAGCUCUUGGGUCUCCAUUUUUGAAUGGAGUGCUGCAAGAGAUGCCAUCAGGCAACAGAGUUAACACAGCGUGCCUCCGGAGUUAAUAGCUGGCUUUUGACUUGUCACUUGUGAAAAAGGAGAAAAAGAGCUAGUUCUCCGCUGAGGUGAAACAUUACCUGCCAUCCGCAAAUGCUGGCUCUGCCAGCACCUCGUGAUCCUUCAACUGGCAGGAGAUCCUGAGAGAAAUGCAAAAGGACAAGCCCACCUCCACAGCCUAGCAAGCUCCUGGCUUAGUCACCUCCGUGGGCCGAAGGCUGACACCGUACUGACGGGCCUGUGUACACUCAAGAGUUCCUGCAAGGCAGCUGGGAAGGCUGGCCUCAUACCACAGGAGGUGUGGAGUUUUGACUUCUCAGUUUGCUCUUCCAUUUGGCCAAAACUGGCCUUUCUCCAGCCUACCUUUUCUGGAUUGAGUUGAGGUGAGGGAUCCUGGGAGAGAACAUGGAGACUCUCGGGGACACAGGGCUGCUGAAAAGGGCCACGUGGUUCAGUGACCUCUGCUCGUCUAAAUGGCCACAGCGUGAAUGACCUGAUAGGUAUAUGGACAUGCUCACUCUCCCUAAGACACAGGUUGUAAACCCCAGAAGGCUGGGACAUGAAAGGCAACAUCACGCCUUCUCAUUAGGCCCUGGAAGGAGAUGCCAACAGAUAACUUUCAUCCCAUCCAACAUACCUCUGGGAUAAAUUGGUUUCCCCUUAGAUUAGUGUUCUGAGUACCUGUUUCUUGGUUUGUUUGUUUGUU